UAGGUGUCAGUGUUUAGUCAGUUUU
This 25-nucleotide non-coding RNA is filed under the name Mus musculus (house mouse). The record is from RNAcentral. Lineage: Eukaryota; Metazoa; Chordata; Mammalia; Rodentia; Muridae.